RNAcentral lists this ribosomal RNA (306 nucleotides) under Triticum aestivum (bread wheat). RNAcentral describes it as "partial small subunit ribosomal RNA". The record is from RNAcentral. Lineage: Eukaryota; Viridiplantae; Streptophyta; Magnoliopsida; Poales; Poaceae.
AUGCAAGGAGUAGGCCACCGCCGCCAUACCCAACAAGAGAUCUCGCCGGAGCUCAACGGUACGACUUCUGGAAACGCGCGCGGGCACCGCGACCGCCAAACUUCUUGGGCUCGCAGCGGCGUGGAUCGGCGACGAGGAGCGUCCGGUCGUAGCGGCCGAAGAUCUCCUUCACCUCCUUCUUGGCCGCCUCGUCGACGUACUUCUGGUAGUAGGCGACGAGAGACUUGGCGAUGGCCUGGCGUAUGGAGUAGAUCUGGCUCGUCUUCCCUCCGCCGCGGACGCGGAUACGCAUGUCGAUGUCCUUGA